GCAGCCGAACACCGAGGGCAUCGAGUCGAACUGGCGCCCUCCGGGGGGUGGCAGUGUGGAACUUGUACCAGCCUCUGUAUCUACCCGUAUGAUCGGCAUCAUCCGCGUUCAACUGUAGGAUACCCCUGCACGCCACUCCCACCCAGGCUUUCUCCACCCUGGGGGGCUUCACCAAGGUCUCCGGUCUGUUAACAAGAAAUUUAGGACGGGGGAAGGGGAGUCCCAAGCCCUCUUGCUUUCAGGCUAGUACAGCCCCAACGCCCAGGAGAGCCCCUGCAGCUGCCCAGUAUCCAGAAGGAGUGCUGCCAUUAGAAAAGUGAGGUGUGCGCCUUUGGAGAUGAGAGGAAUUGCUGGUAAAGAAGACGUGGGGAUACAGUUUUGGGACAACGAACCUGUAAAGAGGGGAGAUUAUUAGUAAUACUCCCUUACCAUGCCUCAAAACGAAGGAGCUUCAUGCAAGGAUUUGUCAGGUUGAUGCCCUCCAUACCUAUUCAAAGAUGAAGGUACAAGAUGUCCUGGGCUAAGUGAUAAAGGAAACUACAUGCCCCGGUCUUUUAAUUUCCUAAGCUAAAACUUGUUCUUUCCCAGGAGCAGGUAGUAUUAGAAGUAUGCAGCUUCCCUCCUCUGAUUUAUAAUCUCUCCUAGUUAUUAAAGGCAGCUAAUUUCCCCAGGCAGAUAAGAUAAUACAUCAUAAAAUACUGAAACAAGAGGAAAUACAGAAGUGAGAAACUGUUCUAGGCAUACCUGGCAUAACUGUCAAACCUGGAAACUCGAAGACCAGAGACAGCAACUCUUUGUAGCAACAGCAUUAUAGACCCCGGGUUUCUAGGGGAGAAGGAGAAGGAAAAAAGAAUUACCUAGGAGUAAGGGCAGGAGAGACUUUCAGAAGCAAGACUAGAGAUAAGAGGGGUGAUGAAAGGAACUACUACCAAAUUUCAUUAAGAAAAAGAUAACUGAGUCCAACCACAGUCAUCAGAGAGACCGACUGUACUAAACAUUGUCUUCUUUCUUUCAACCUCCCUCUGGUCUAAGUGCCCACACUGUACACUUAUGCUAUUACCAGAAAGCAAGUUUUGCUUUGUUUUAAUUGGGGAGCAAGUUUAAAUAGGGAGAAAUAAGAUAAAGCAGACCCCUCAUUCUCCACUCAAAAUACAUUAACUGAAAAUCAAUAUUCCUGAGUCCCCACCCCAUCCUAGCCAUUCAAUUCUUCCUGAGCUCGGCAAACUUAAGGGGUUAUUGUCCCAAGUGUCACUGAAGAGACUGACUUCCUUUCUAGAAUAGGGAACAAGGGAACUUCACAAUUCUCACCUCAACCGUUGUCUCCUAAUCCUUUAGAUAGAAUCAAAGGAGAAGAGCAAUAGACGAGGAAGAUAUGGGCCCACCUGGAGUGUUCCGUGCCUUUUGAAGGAGAGGAAAGUUGGAGUUAAACAACUGGGGGAAUCAGUCCAAGAAACCCGAAAAAGUUACGAGGGAUACCAGGGAAAAGAAAUCAGGCGGGGAGAUUUGUGACGCUGGAAAAGUAGAGGAAUGUAAUUCUAGUUCUUAGCACCCGACUCUCAGCACCCUUUACAUCACAUAUGUGGCCCUUUGGGAGGAGCAACUACUUUUUCUAAAGCAGAGCAGGAGCAGGAGGUGGCUCUUAGAAUAGGGGGACAGCUGCCCUGGCCCAAGGUCCCGGGAGAACUGCAAUCAAUGGGUCAACAAGCAGUUGGGGAAUCUUGUCUUAAGACAUUCCCACAUCGCCCCCCAGUGACAGGAUGAUCCAACUACAACAUGACAAGUCAGACUGCUUCAGUCAUGCUCCUCUCUCUACAGAAAAUGCCGGGUUGGUGAAUAAAAGUGAUAGUAAUGUGAAUGGUGAAUUAGAGGGUCCUGGAAGUACUGAUUACAAUAUUAAAGGCCUGGUGCACGUGAAACCAAUUUAGAGAGUAUAAUAAAAAGCUGACGUAGUAGCAAACUAGACUUGGGCACUAACUAGUGGUCCAAGAGGCCCGAUCCCCACCUAUCUUACUGGUAUUCUUUUGAGAGCAGUGCAGAGGAAUGCAUAAGGAGAAAAAUCUGCUCCUGCUCUUCUACUUUCUAUUCCUUGGACAUGUGGAAAUCCUGCUUUCUACUUUUGGUACAGGAAAGGGAAAUUUAGAAAAGAGAAUAUCAGGAGACAACUAGUCCAUGAAUUUGGAUGGGAAAAUUUUUACCUUAUUUUCACCAAAUUUUAACUGAAGUUUAUUAUUUCCCUCAA
Molecule: long non-coding RNA, 2239 nt
Organism: Sarcophilus harrisii (Tasmanian devil)
Lineage: Eukaryota; Metazoa; Chordata; Mammalia; Dasyuromorphia; Dasyuridae
Exons: 4
Source: RefSeq, a predicted model, not a curated record